RNAcentral lists this ribosomal RNA (468 nucleotides) under uncultured bacterium. RNAcentral's name for it is "partial 16S ribosomal RNA". It matches the Rfam family "Bacterial small subunit ribosomal RNA", at positions 28 to 507 of the family's 1533-position model. The record is from RNAcentral.
GACGAACGCCGGCGGCGUGCUUAACACAUGCAAGUCGAACGGAAAGGCCCUGCUUUUGUGGGGUGCUCGAGUGGCGAACGGGUGAGUAACACGUGAGUAACCUGCCCUUGACUUUGGGAUAACUUCAGGAAACUGGGGCUAAUACCGGAUAGGAGCUCCUGCUGCAUGGUGGGGGUUGGAAAGUUUCGGCGGUUGGGGAUGGACUCGCGGCUUAUCAGCUUGUUGGUGGGGUAGUGGCUUACCAAGGCUUUGACGGGUAGCCGGCCUGAGAGGGUGACCGGCCACAUUGGGACUGAGAUACGGCCCAGACUCCUACGGGAGGCAGCAGUGGGGAAUAUUGCACAAUGGGCGGAAGCCUGAUGCAGCAACGCCGCGUGCGGGAUGACGGCCUUCGGGUUGUAAACCGCUAUCGCCUGUGACGAAGCGUGAGUGACGGUAAUGGGUAAAGAAGCACCGGCUAACUACGUG